UUUUCCCUGUUUUAAAAAAAUUGUGCAGGGAAUUUGCAAGGCCCCUAAAUACUUCUGAAUAUGUCAUGGAUUUCAAGAGUAAAGCAAGUUUCCGGAAACUUACUUUGCUUGUGGCAGAAGAAAUCAGAAUUAAUUCCCCCACAUCAUAUAGUCCCAAGGAGAAUUGCAUUCCCUUGGCUACAUGAAUUAGUAUUUCCUAAGUGUGGAUCACAGAACUGAGCCCAAGGUAAUUUACACCUAAUGUAUGUUGAAUAUUAACAUAGAUACAUCUUUUAAGUGAUUUUAAGGUUCUCGCAUGUAAUAAAAAUGUAAAAUGAUCAAUCGUAAUUUUAUGUAUGCCUUAAAACAUUUUUUGUUUGUUUUGGGUUUUCAUUUUUGGCUUUUGUGGUUUUUGUUUUGUUUUUAUUAUUUUGUCCUUAGGUAGACAUUGUUGAAGGAUACCUCAAAGUACCCAGAAGGACAGGAGGAAUUGCAGAACCUCAGGCUGGAGGGUAUCCCUCAAAACGAGCAAGACACAGCUCUGCGACUGGAUGCAAGCCAAGAUCCUAGAUGACUCAAUUUUUCACUCUAUCAGAUGAAGACAAUACUUGCCAUCUCCCAAAUAAAGGUUAUGAGGAUUAAUCUGUCCAUAAUGCAUUUGGAGAUCCUUGCAAUAAAGAUUAAAACCAUGUAUAAAAUUUACUAUAUUUUAUAGGUGUGAGUUUUCAAGAUCAGUUAUCUUGAAACUGUUUAUUCCCUAAGAAUUGGGCCUGCAGUUUAAUAUCCUAUGACAUGAAAUACAUGGUUCAAUCUUAGUUAGGGAUCCACAGUCUUCAAUAACUAGGCUUCUGUUGGUAUAGUUAAUUAAGAGAGAUGAUAGCAAUUCUCCACUUACUAUUUUUGCCUGCAUUUAUCCUUCCUGAAAUAUGGUUGAAAUUUAAAACAUGGAAGCUGGUUACUACUUACUCCUAGACACCAUCCUAGAAGUAGCACAAGAUGGGUCAUACGGCUGAUUUAAAAUCUAGAAUAUAAAUGUGACAUAAAAUGUAGGAUUAAUAUUUCAAAAAAUACACCUGUCCUAGCCAAGGAUACUUUUUUCCUUAAUUAAAAAUGAUAUCGUUAACAUUACAGUUUACUGAUUAAAUGCCAUUUACAUAUUAGUAUUUGCCUAUUAGCAUUAGGAAGAAAAUACCUUCUAACAAUUCACAUCUGCCUCUUCUCUAAACUCAUUAACAAUUCCUAUUCACCAUAUUGUAAAGACAUUUACUUUCAAGAUUUCAGGCUUUAAUAGGCCAGGCAUGGUGGCUCACCUCUGUAAUCCCAGCACUUUGGGAGGCCGAGAUGGGAGGGUUGUGUGAGGCCAGGAAUUUCAGCAAUAUAGGGAGACCCCCAUCUCUACAAAAAAUUAAAUACAAUUUAAAAAUUAACCAGGCGUGGUGGCAUAUGCCUGGGGUCCCAGCUCCUUGACAGAGGAUAAGGUGGAAGGAUCGCUUGAGCCUGGGAGGUCUAGGCUGUGCUGAGCCAUGAUCACACCACUGCACCAGCUUGGGCAACAGAGCAAGACCCCAUCUUAAAAAAGAAAUUAAUGGUUUAAAAAAUAGCUUCAUGACUCAAGUCACUGCAGCUUCAGAGUUGUUUUAGCUUUUAGAUAGAUAGAAGUAUUUUAGCCUUUCCCAUCCUGUGUGCAAUUUAACAGCAUCCAUGAGUGUAUUUAACAAUAUUACUUUUCACCCAAAUUCUCCUAUUCAUUUUUUAAAUUCACUUAUUUUCACUUAUUAUUAUUCAUUCAACAAACAUUUAUUAAAUGCCUACCUACUAUGUGCUGAAGCUUUGCUGAGCGAAAAGAUGCAAAUAAAACAUUAUCCCUGCCUUCAAAGAAAUUCAUUGUAUAGUAGGCAAGACAUAGAAGGAAAUAUGUGUUUCUAAUUCAGUAUUUUUUAAAUCAACAAUUCAAAAAAAAAUUAAAUGAGUUUUGUAGCAUCCAUGGUUUUGUAGUGUGAUCAUG
Molecule: long non-coding RNA, 1984 nt
Filed under: Homo sapiens (human)
Lineage: Eukaryota; Metazoa; Chordata; Mammalia; Primates; Hominidae
Description: HSALNT0205322
Source: RNAcentral